UUCUUAAUGAAUUUAUAUUAAGUAUUACCUGCUCAAUGAAUAAUUAAAUAGCCGCGGAAAUUUUACCGUGCUAAGGUAGCAUAAUCAUUAGUCUCUUAAUUAGAGACCUGUAUGAAAGGUAAAACAAUUUAAUUUCUUUAUUAAUUAAUAUAUUUUAACUUGAAUUAAGAAUAAAAAUGUUCUUAUUAAUAAAAAAGACGAUAAGACCCUUUUGAACUUUACUUUAGUUUUGCUGGGGAAGCAAUAAAAUAAUUUUUUUUUAUUUAAUUUAUUUAUUUAAAUGAUCCAUCAUAGUUGAUUAAAUGAACAAGUUACCAUAGGGAUAACAGCGUAAUAAUUUUUUAAAGAUCUUAUUUAAAAAUUUGAUUGCGACCUCGAUGUUGAAUUAGUUUUACUCUAUUAAAGCAAAAUUUAUAUAAGUAGGUCUGUUCGACCUUUAAUUUACUACAU
RNAcentral lists this ribosomal RNA (450 nucleotides) under Mastophora apalachicola. Its description in RNAcentral is "partial 16S large subunit ribosomal RNA". It matches the Rfam family "Bacterial large subunit ribosomal RNA", at positions 1831 to 2601 of the family's 2925-position model. The record is from RNAcentral. Lineage: Eukaryota; Metazoa; Arthropoda; Arachnida; Araneae; Araneidae.